GUCGCAUCAAGAUGGAGCUUUUCGCCGAUAUUACUCCCAAAACUGCUGAGAAUUUCAGGCAACUGUGCACGGGAGAAUUUAGGAAAGCAGGAGUACCACAAGGCUUUAAGAAUUGUCAGUUCCAUAGGGUGAUUAAGGACUUCAUGAUCCAAGGUGGUGAUUUCCUAAAGGGAGAUGGCAGUGGAUGUGUUUCCAUAUAUGGAAGCAAGUUUGAGGAUGAAAACUUUAUUGCCAAGCACACUGGUCCUGGCCUUUUAUCAAUGGCAAAUAGCGGACCAAACACUAAUGGAUGUCAGUUUUUUGUCUCAUGUGCCAAAUGUGAGUGGCUCGACAACAAGCAUGUCGUUUUUGGGCGUGUUCUUGGAGAUGGUCUUUUAGUGGUCAGGAAGAUUGAGAAUGUGGCUGUUGGAGCAAACAACAAACCAAAGCUGGCAUGUGUGAUUGCUGAAUGUGGAGAGAUGUAACUAGUGAAAAUAAAUGUACACCUAGUGAUUUGAAAACACCCAUCUGUACCUGGUUAUAUUUUCUUGGCAUAGUCUAGAGGACCUGUUGAGUUGAUUUAUCAGCUCUUUAUCUAUUUCAUUUGACAUUAAUGAUUAAACUUGUGAACUCCUCUUUCUCCAGAAUUGUAGCAAACAAGAAAAAUGUACUGGAUACAAGUGUUUCCUGUGUCAAAGUACAUUGCAA
This 687-nucleotide unclassified non-coding RNA is filed under the name Hevea brasiliensis (rubber tree). Lineage: Eukaryota; Viridiplantae; Streptophyta; Magnoliopsida; Malpighiales; Euphorbiaceae. The record is from RNAcentral.